GACGAACGCUGGCGGCGUGCUUAACACAUGCAAGUCGAACGAUGACGACCGAGCUUGCUCGGUCUGAUUAGUGGCGAACGGGUGAGUAACACGUGAGCAACCUGCCCUUCACUCUGGGAUAACCUCGGGAAAUCGGGGCUAAUACCGGAUAUGAGCUCCUGUCGCAUGGCGGGUGUUGGAAAGUUUUUCGGUGAAGGAUGGGCUCGCGGCCUAUCAGUUUGUUGGUGAGGUAGUGGCUCACCAAGGCGAUGACGGGUAGCCAGCCUGAGAGGGCGACCGGCCACACUGGGACUGAGACACGGCCCAGACUCCUACGGGAGGCAGCAGUGGGGAAUAUUGCACAAUGGGCGAAAGCCUGAUGCAGCGACGCCGCGUGAGGGAUGACGGCCUUCGGGUUGUAAACCUCUUUCAGCAGGGAAGAAGCGAAAGUGACGGUACCUGCAGAAGAAGCGCCGGCUAACUACGUG
RNAcentral lists this ribosomal RNA (467 nucleotides) under uncultured bacterium. RNAcentral describes it as "partial 16S ribosomal RNA". It matches the Rfam family "Bacterial small subunit ribosomal RNA", at positions 28 to 507 of the family's 1533-position model. The record is from RNAcentral.